AGUGAACGCUGGCGGCAGGCCUAACACAUGCAAGUCGAACGGCAGCACAGUAAGAGCUUGCUCUUACGGGUGGCGAGUGGUGGAAGGUUGAGGAAUACAUCGGAAUCUACUUUUUCGUGGGGGAUAACGUAGCUAAACUUACGCUAAUACCGCAUACGACCUACGGGUGAAUGCAGGGGAUCUUCGGACCUUGCUCGGUUGAAGGAGCCGAUGUCGGAUUAGCUAGUUGGCGGGUUAAAGGCCCACCACGGCGACGAUCCGUAGCUGGUCUGCGAGGAUGAUCAGCCAGACUGGAAUUGAGACACGGUCCAGACUCGCACGGGAGGCAGCAGUGGGGAAUAUUGGACAAUGGGUGGAAGACGGAUCCAGCCAUGCCGCGUGGGUGCAGAAGGCCUUCGGGUUGUAAAGCCCUUUUGUUGGGAAAGAAAAGCAUCACGUUAAUAACCAGCUGUAAUGACGGUACCCGAAGGAUAAGCCCCGGGUAACUUCGUG
This 492-nucleotide ribosomal RNA is filed under the name uncultured bacterium. RNAcentral describes it as "partial 16S ribosomal RNA". It matches the Rfam family "Bacterial small subunit ribosomal RNA", at positions 29 to 507 of the family's 1533-position model. The record is from RNAcentral.